This is a non-coding RNA of Oryctolagus cuniculus (rabbit), 394 nucleotides long. NCBI's taxonomy places the organism in Eukaryota, Metazoa, Chordata, Mammalia, Lagomorpha, Leporidae. The record is from RefSeq and is a predicted model, not a curated record.
UUUGAUAUUACUAUUACAUACUUUGUAGAUAAAUUGACAUAAUAGAUACAUUUUAAUUUUAAUUUAAAACUUAAAGAAUCUAAAUAACCUUUUAAUUCACUAUGCUGAAAACCUCAAAUGGAAAGGAAAUGAUGAACAUAGCCAGAAAAAGCAUUUAAUAUUGAGGAAAAUUAAAGGUGCUUUGUCUCACAUGGAAGAAGAAUUUCUGAGCGGACAAGCAGAGAGAUAAACAAGAAUUAUUAAAGUUGAAAACCUACAGCCAGACUGCAUGGAAGGGGGCUUCCAAGAGAGGAAAACCCCAAAGUGGUCUGUGGUCACUGUGAAGAUCCCGGAAGUCACACACACCCUAAAAACUCACAAUAAGAAAACUGAUGCAGAGCAAUGUACUGAUUCA